CUUCAGCUCACUAUCUUACUCUUUUACUCUUUUAUGCUCUUACUCUUUUACUAUUUUGUUUAUCCAAUAGAUAGAUAAAUUAUCAAUUAUUAUUACAUA
Trachymyrmex cornetzi is the source of this 99-nucleotide long non-coding RNA. RefSeq lists it as uncharacterized. The transcript has 3 exons. The record is from RefSeq and is a predicted model, not a curated record. Lineage: Eukaryota; Metazoa; Arthropoda; Insecta; Hymenoptera; Formicidae.